RNAcentral lists this ribosomal RNA (465 nucleotides) under Vreelandella stevensii. Its description in RNAcentral is "partial 16S ribosomal RNA". It matches the Rfam family "Bacterial small subunit ribosomal RNA", at positions 338 to 795 of the family's 1533-position model. Lineage: Bacteria; Pseudomonadati; Pseudomonadota; Gammaproteobacteria; Oceanospirillales; Halomonadaceae. The record is from RNAcentral.
CCUACGGGUGGCUGCAGUGGGGAAUAUUGGACAAUGGGCGAAAGCCUGAUCCAGCCAUGCCGCGUGUGUGAAGAAGGCCUUCGGGUUGUAAAGCACUUUCAGUGGGGAAGAAAGCCUUGGGGCUAAUACCCUCGAGGAAGGACAUCACCCACAGAAGAAGCACCGGCUAACUCCGUGCCAGCAGCCGCGGUAAUACGGAGGGUGCGAGCGUUAAUCGGAAUUACUGGGCGUAAAGCGCGCGUAGGCGGUCUGAUAAGCCGGUUGUGAAAGCCCCGGGCUCAACCUGGGAACGGCAUCCGGAACUGGCAGACUAGAGUGCAGGAGAGGGAGGUAGAAUUCCCGGUGUAGCGGUGAAAUGCGUAGAGAUCGGGAGGAAUACCAGUGGCGAAGGCAGCCUUCUGGACUAACACUGACGCUGAGGUGCGAAAGCGUGGGUAGCAAACAGGAUUAGAUACCCCGGUAGUC